RNAcentral lists this long non-coding RNA (1387 nucleotides) under Macaca fascicularis (crab-eating macaque). RNAcentral describes it as "lncRNA (ENSMFAG00000061945.1)". Lineage: Eukaryota; Metazoa; Chordata; Mammalia; Primates; Cercopithecidae. The record is from RNAcentral.
UUUUUUUUUUCCUUUUUUUUUUCCUUAGGAUACUUCUGAACUGGUGAGGUGUGCUCACAAUGAGGUUUCCUCUAAAACUUAUUUUUUUUUACUUUGUUGUUGUUGUUGUUAGCAAAGCAAUUGCCGCUACAGAUUAAAUGCAUUUGGGCCAUCCGCGGGUUACUGGGUUAAGGAUUUUUUAUAGGAAGGCCUCAGUGCUUUUGGGAUACACCCUCGUUUACACUGACAACAAAGUGGUAUUGGAGUGUUAUCGGGUUAUGGAGAAUACCUUCAGUUAUCAAUUAUAAGUUUUAAAUUUACCUUGGCUUUUAAAGAAAUGGGGUAUACUUUUUUUUUCAUAACUACUUAUAUAUCUCUCUCUUUCUCUCUUUAACUUUGUCUUUCUCUGACUUUCCUUUUGCCUCUGUCUCUUCCUCUCUCUCUCUGCCUCUUUUCCUCUCUGUCUCUUUCCUUUCUCUCUCUCUGCUGGUCUUUCCUUGCCUCUGCCAGCCUCUUAUGCUGCUGUUCUCUCAACCACUGUGUGUUGGGGGCGGGGGGUCUAAAACCGGUUGUAACCAAGUGUCUAUGUACAGGAAUUGGUCUGGGUUCCCUGGCUUACAUGUUACCUUGUGCCAUACCUUUGAAACAAGGGACCUGUCCAGGCUUCUUUCUAAUGGCCAGCCUACCUCUAAUGCUGGCCAGUCUAUCUUACACAAAGUUUUAAGUUUUCCUGGUGUCAUAGUACUCCAUAGUCUCCCUUAAAUUCUUUUUUGAAAAUUUUCAACGUAGUUCCUAGUAGGGCGGGCUUAUUUGUGCCUGACCUAUGCUUCUUCAAGACAAAACACGAUGCUCACACCACAUGCACACCACAAAACAAAGAAUGGAUAAAAAGGGCACACACACACUUAGGCAGUUUUCACCAAACCAAAAUCAGAGUAUCCAGAAAUCCAAGCCGGGCCAAAACCAAAACCAAAGUAUCAAGCAAUCCAAGUCAAGUCAAAAACAAAGACCAAAGUGCUGGUACAAGCACACCGUGGGUGAUCAGGCCACACUUCCACUCAAAUGGAGCGGGCAAGUUCUUAAGACCAGUCCUGUCAAGCAAUUCAAACCAAGUCAAAGCCAAAACCAAAGUGCCGAUAAAGGCACACUGUGGGUGAUCAGGCCACGCUUCCACUCAAAUGGAGUGGGUAAGUUUCCGAGACUAGUCUUACCAACUUUUAGAUGUCCAGACUCCAAGUGCCUGUUCCUUCCUGGUGUUCAGCCACUGCGUUGAUCCUCCACGGGGGCCUGCCACACACCGCUCUUGCGAGGUGUCCUACCGCGGCAAAUGCCUACCCAGGAGCUCUCUCAGGAUCCGCAUCGCUCUGGCUGGUGGGAGUCUCCUGCAGGGAUGUUCCACAGGGCAGGC